CCCAGACCGCCAGCUAAGGUCCCAAAGUCAUGGUUAAGUGGGAAACGAUGUGGGAAGGCCCAGACAGCCAGGAUGUUGGCUUAGAAGCAGCCAUCAUUUAAAGAAAGCGUAAUAGCUCACUGGUCGAGUCGGCCUGCGCGGAAGAUGUAACGGGGCUAAACCAUGCACCGAAGCUGCGGCAGCGAACGUAUCACUUAAAGCGAUUCAGCGGRUKACGAUUGACGGAGCGAAGCGACGUCAAAGCGUAUACAAAGUCGAGUCGGUUUAAGGAUACGUUCGUUGGGUAGGGGAGCGUUCUGUAAGCCUGYGAAGGUGKSYYGUGAGGSWUGCUGGAGGUAUCAGAAGUGCGAAUGCUGACAUAAGUAACGAUAAAGCGGGUGAAAAGCCCGCUCGCCGGAAGACCAAGGGUUCCUGUCCAACGUUAAUCGGGGCAGGGUGAGUCGACCCCUAAGGCGAGGCCGAAAGGCGUAGUCGAUGGGAAACGGGUUAAUAUUCCCGUACUUGGUGUUACUGCGAAGGGGGGACGGAGAAGGCUAUGUUGGCCGGGCGACGGUUGUCCCG
RNAcentral lists this ribosomal RNA (561 nucleotides) under Salmonella enterica. Its description in RNAcentral is "partial 23S ribosomal RNA". The record is from RNAcentral. Lineage: Bacteria; Pseudomonadati; Pseudomonadota; Gammaproteobacteria; Enterobacterales; Enterobacteriaceae.